RNAcentral lists this long non-coding RNA (257 nucleotides) under Vulpes vulpes (red fox). RNAcentral describes it as "lncRNA (ENSVVUG00000004479.1)". Lineage: Eukaryota; Metazoa; Chordata; Mammalia; Carnivora; Canidae. The record is from RNAcentral.
AAAAUUAAACACUUUCAACUGUCCUGGCCCUGGAUGGAAUUGGCACUGGAGAAUCAGUUGGGUUCACAUAAUAGCCCAGGAACCUCAAGCAGAAGAGACCAGCAAGGCCAUGAGGAUGCAUACAGAAGAUGUCUAGCUUGGUGGUCCUGGGCCGUGGCAGGAAAGUCAGAGCUGAAACUUGGUAAGUCCUCCAAACUGUGUGAAGCUCCUCUUUAAAUAAAGAAACAAGUUACAGUAUAAAUGAAAAAACUCUAUGA